RNAcentral lists this long non-coding RNA (4635 nucleotides) under Homo sapiens (human). RNAcentral's name for it is "HSALNT0135698". The record is from RNAcentral. Lineage: Eukaryota; Metazoa; Chordata; Mammalia; Primates; Hominidae.
CCUCUCUCUCGCAGCUGGUCUGAGUUUUGUCAUCUGGGAGACUGGGCUUAGAACAGCUUGAAGUUAGUACAGAGGCGAACGAAGCUUUAAAUCUCCAGCACUUAACAGCUUCUCUGCAGCCUCAGAGGCUGAAUAUUUCAUUGUCCUUGGGACAGGACAAGCCUACCUUCCUAGUAGACCUAGACAUUGGCCCCAAAGAUGUCUUCUCCAUUUCUACCAUGAGGACCUAGAGAGUCAUAAAAUAGUCCUGGAAACCAGACCUCAUUAGCCAGAUUUAAUGAGGCCUCGUUAUGACACUCACUAAUUUUGCAAUUUCUCCACCCACAAUGUCUUGGAUUCCUUAUUUAUAAGGCACUUUCACAUGUGAUCUCACAAAAUCACAACAAUCCCGAUAUAGAAAUGAGGAAACUGAGACUCAGAAAGACCAACUGGCCUUUGCAAGGUUACACUUUUGAUAAACAGGCAAGACAGGAUUCAAAGCAAAAUCUCCUGCCAAGAAACCUUCUGAUUUUAAAUGCCAAGUUCCUGAAAUGAAAUUGAGACUCAAAGCCAGGCACGGUGGCUAACGCCUGUAAUCCCAGCACUGUGGGAGGCCAAGGUGGGCGGAUUGCUUGAGGACAGGAGUUCGAGACCAGCCUGGCCAACAUAGUGAAACCCCAUCUCUACUAAAGAUACAAAAAAAUUAGCUGGGCCUCAGCCUUGGGAGGCUGAGGCAGGAAAAUCGCUUGGACCUGGGAGGUGGAGGUUGCAUUGAGCCUAGAUUGCACCACUGCACUCCAGCCUGGGUGACAGAGUGAGAUGCUGUCUCAGAAAAAAAAGAAAGAAAGAAAGAAGGAAAGAAAGAAAGAAAGAAAGAAAGAAAGAAAGAAAGAAAGAAAGAAAGAAAGAAAGAAAGAAAGAAACUGAGACCCAAAAAAAGGAUCAACAAAAUGAAAAGUUGUUUUUUUUUUUAAAGAUAGACUGCUAAGUAGAUUAACAAAGAAAAAAGAGAGAAGAUCCAAAUAAGCACAAUCAGACAUGACAAAGGCAACAUCACAGCCAAUCCCACAGAAAUACAAAAGAUCCUCAGAAACUACUGUGAACAUCUCUUUGCACACAAACUAGAAAAUCUAAAGGAAAUGGAUAAAUUCCUGGAAACACAGAAACCUCCCAAUAUUGAACAACAACAACAACAACAACAAAACCCCCAGAAAUCCUGAACACACAAAUAAGGAGUAAUCGAAUUUGAAUCAGUAAUAAAAAGCCUACCAACCAAAAAAAAGACCUGGACCAGAUGGAUUCACAGCCAAGUUCUACCAUACAUACAAAGAGGAGCUGAUACUAAUCCUAUUGAAAUUAUUCCAAAAAAUCAAGGAUGAGGGACUUCUCCCUAACCCAUUCUAUAAAACCAGUAUCAUCCUGAUACCAAAAUCUGUCAAACACACAACAACAAAAAAAUAAAACUACAGGCCAAUAUCCCUGAUGAAAUAGACACAAAAAUUUUCAACAAAAUAUUAGCAAACCAAAUCCAGCAGCACAUCAAAAAGUUAAUUCACCAUGAUCAAAUGGGCUUUAUUCUUGGGAUGCAAGGAUGGUUCAAUGUAAGCAAACCAAUAAAUGUGGAUCAUCACAUAAACAGAAUUAAAAACCAUAUGAUUAUCUCAAUAAACACAGAAAAAGUUUUUGAUAAAAUCCAACAUCCAGGCAGGUGUGGUGGCUCAUUCCUAUAAUCCCAACACUUUGAGAGACCAAGGUGAGAGGAUCACUUGAGCCCGGGAGUUCAAGAUCAGCCUGGGCCACCUGGUGAGACCCCAUCUCUACCAAAAAUUUAAAAAUUAGCCGGGCAUGGUGGCAUACACCCAUGGUCCCAGCUACUCAGGAUGCUGAAGUGGGAGGAUUGCUUGAACCCAGGAGGUCAAGGCUUCAGUGAGCCAUGAUUGUGCCACUGCACUUCAGCCUGGAUGACAGAGAGAAACACCAUCUCCCCUCCCCUCGAAAAAUACAACAUCUCUUCAUGAUAAAAACUCUCAACAAGCUAAGCAUUGAAGGAACAUACCUCAAAAUAAUAAGAGCCAUCUAUGACAGACCCACUGCCAGCAUCAUACUGAAUGAGAAAAGGCUGGAAGCAUUUUCCUUGAGAACUGGAACAAGACAAGUAUGUCCACUUUCACCGCUCUUAUUCAACAUAGUACUGGAAGUCCUAGCCUGAGCAAUCAGGGAAGAGAACAAAAUAAAAGGCAUCCAAAUGGGAAAAGAGAAAGUCAAAUUAUCUCUCUUUGCUGACGAUAUGAUUUUAUACCUAAAGACUCUGCCAAAAUUCUCCUAGAUCUGAUAAACAACUUUAGCAAAGCCUUGAGAUACAAAGUCAACAUACAAAAAUUGAAAGCAUUUCUAUACAUCAAUACCAUUCAAUCUGAGAACCAAAUUAAGAAUCUAAUCCCAUUUACAAUAGCCACACAUACACACAAAUAAAAUACCUGGGAAUACAUCUAACCAAGGAGGUGAAAUAUCUCUACAAGGAGAACUAUGAAACACUGAUGAAAGAAAUCACAGGGCUUGGCGCAGUGGCUCAUGCCUGUAAUUCCAGCACUUUGGGAGGCCGAGGUGAGUGGAUCACCUGAGGUCAGGAGUUAGAGACCAGCCUGGCCAACAUGAUGAAACCCCAUCUCUACUAAAAAUACAAAAAAUUAUCCAGGCAAGAUGGUGGGUGCCUGUAAUCCCAGCUACUCAGGAGAAUCACUUUAUCCCAGGGGGCGGAGGUUGCAGUGAGCCAAGAUCAUGCCACUGCACUCCAACCUGGGCAACAAGAGUGAAACAUCAUCUCAAAAAAAAAAAAAAGAAAAGAAAGAAAAAGAAAAAGAAAAAAAAAGAAAUCAUAGCUGACACAUACAAAUGGUAAAGCAUCACAUACUCAUGGAUUGGAAGAAUCAAUAUCGUUAAAUGUCCAUACUGCCCAAAGCAAUCUACUGAUUCAACACUAUUCCUGUCAAAUUACCAAUGUCAUUUUUCACAGAAUUAGAAAAAUGCUAUUCUAAAAUUCAUAUGGAACCAAAAAGAGCCCAAAUAGCCAAGGCAAUCAUAAGCAAAGAAAAGCCAGAGGCAUCACAUCACCCGACUUCAAACUAAACUACAAGGCUACAGUAACCAAAACAGAAUGCUAUUGGUACAAAAAUAGACACAUACACCAAUGGAACAGAAUAGAGACCCUGAAAAUAAACUCACACAUCUAUAACCAAGUGAUCUUUGACAAAGUCAACAAAAAUAAACAAUAGAGAAAGGACGCUUUAUUCAAUAAAUUGUUCUGAGAAAACUGGCUGACCAUAUGCAGAAGAAUGAAAGUGGACACCUAUCUCUUAAUAUAUACAAAAAUUAACUCAGGAUGGAUUAAAGAUUUAAAUGUAAGCCCUAAAAUGAUAAAAAAUCCUAGGAGAAAACCUAGGAAAUACCCUUCUAGACAUUGGCCUAAGCAAAGAAUUUAUGACUAAGUCCUCGAAAGCAAAUGCAACAAAAAAUAUUGAAAAUUGGGACCUAAUUAAAGAGCUUCUGCAUAGCAAAAGAAGCUAUCAACAGAGUAAACAGACAGUCUACAGAAUGGGAAAAAAUAUUUACAAACACUAUGCAUAUGACAAAGGACUAUUAUCUAGAAUCUAUAAGGAACCCAAACAACUCAACAAGUAAAAAACAACCCCACUGAAAAGUGGGCAAAGGACAUGAACAGACACUUCUCAAAAGAAGAUAUACAGGUGGCCAACAAACAUACGAAAAAAUGCUCAGCACUGCUAAUCAUCAAAGUGAUGCAAAUCAAAACCACAACAAGAUAUCAUCUCACACCACUCAGGAAUGGCUAUUAUUAAAAAGUCAAAAAAUAACCGAUGUUGGCAAGGCUGCAGAGAAAAGGGAACCCUUAUACACUGUUGGUGGGAAUGCAAAUUAGUUCAGCCACUGUGGAAAGCAUUUUAGAGAUUUCUUAAAGAACUAAAAACAGAAUUACAGUUCAACCCAGCAAUCCCAUUACUAGUUGUAGGAAAAUAAAUCAUUCUACCAAAAAGACAUCUGCACUCAAAUGUUUAUUGCAGCACCAUUCACAAUAGCAAAGACAUGGAAAUCAACCCAAAUGCCCAUCAAUGGUGGAUUGGAUGAAGAAAAUAUGGCACAUAUGCCCCAUGGAAUACUACACAACCAUAAAAAAGAACAAAAUCAUGUCCUUUGCAGCAACAUGGAUGCAGCUGGAGGCCCUUGGCCUAAGUGAAUUAAUACAGGAACAGAAAACCAAAUAUCGCAUGUUCUCAUUUAUAAGUGGGAGCUAAGCAUGGGGUACACACAGGCACAAAGAUGGGAAUAGUAAACACUGGACCCCAAAAGGAAGGAGGGAGAGAGUGGGACAAAGGUUGAAAAAACUAUCUAUUGGGUACUAUAUUCCCUACUGGGAUGAUAGGAUUAUUAGAAGCCCAAACCCCAGCGUCACACAAUAUACCCAUACAACAAACAUGCAUGUGCACACCCUGAGUCUAAAAUCAAAAUUUUUUUAAUUAAAAAAAAAAUGCUGAGUUCUGUACAAUGGAAAGGUGGGAUGGCAGGAAGGUGAGCAUGUCUGCAAAUCACAAGACUCCCUGGGCGCCGUGGAGAUGGUCCUCAGCUACGAACAAAGCCAUUUUC